This 253-nucleotide ribosomal RNA is filed under the name uncultured bacterium. RNAcentral describes it as "partial 16S ribosomal RNA". It matches the Rfam family "Bacterial small subunit ribosomal RNA", at positions 524 to 776 of the family's 1533-position model. The record is from RNAcentral.
UACGUAGGGGGCAAGCGUUAUCCGGAUUUACUGGGUGUAAAGGGAGCGUAGACGGCAGCGCAAGUCUGGAGUGAAAUGCCGGGGCCCAACCCCGGAACUGCUUUGGAAACUGUGCGGCUCGAGUGCGGGAGAGGUAGGCGGAAUUCCUAGUGUAGCGGUGAAAUGCGUAGAUAUUAGGAGGAACACCAGUGGCGAAGGCGGCUCUCUGGCCUGUAACUGACACUGAGGCUCGAAAGCGUGGGGAGCAAACAGG